CUACAAUGGUAGUGCUGUACAUGCAGUCGAGCGGACAGAUGUGGAGCUUGCUCCCUGAUGUUAGCGGCGGACGGGUGAGUAACACGUGGGUAACCUGCCUGUAAGACUGGGAUAACUCCGGGAAACCGGGGCUAAUACCGGAUGGUUGUUUGAACCGCAUGGUUCAAACAUAAAAGGUGGCUUCGGCUACCACUUACAGAUGGACCCGCGGCGCAUUAGCUAGUUGGUGAGGUAACGGCUCACCAAGGCAACGAUGCGUAGCCGACCUGAGAGGGUGAUCGGCCACACUGGGACUGAGCCACGAUAUAACUCUAUAGGUGUGGGAGCAGUAGGCAUUCUUCCGCAAUGGACGAAAGUCUGACGGAGCAACGCCGCGUGAGUGAUGAUUUUUUUCGGAUCGUAAAGCUCUGUUGUUAGGAAAGAACAAGUAUCGUUCGAAUAGGGCGUUACCUUGACGGUACCUAACCAGAAAGCCACGGCUAACUACGUGCCAGCAGCCCCGGUAAUACGUAGGGGGCAUUGUUGUCCGGGAUUAUUGGUGUAAAGGGCUCGCAGUCUUUUCUUAUUCUGAGUCAAACCCCCGGCUCAGCGGUAAGGGUUAUUGGUAACUGGGUUCUUUGAGUACAGAAGAGGAAAUGGAAUUCACGGGUAGGGUAAAAUGCGUAAAAGAUGUGAAUAAACCCCGGGGGGGGAGCCGACUCCUCUUGUCCUGUAACUGACGCUGAAGAAGCGAAAGCGU
This 739-nucleotide ribosomal RNA is filed under the name Bacillus subtilis. RNAcentral describes it as "bacterial SSU rRNA". It matches the Rfam family "Bacterial small subunit ribosomal RNA", at positions 31 to 762 of the family's 1533-position model. The record is from RNAcentral. Lineage: Bacteria; Bacillati; Bacillota; Bacilli; Caryophanales; Bacillaceae.